UACAGAGGGUGCGAGCGUUAAUCGGAAUUACUGGGCGUAAAGCGUGCGUCGCCGGUUCUUUAAGUCGGGUGUGAAAGCCCCGGGCUCAACCUGGGAAUUGCAUUCGAGACUGAAUAGCUAGGGUACGGUAGAGGGAAGUGGAAUUUCCGGUGUAGCGGUGAAAUGCGUAGAUAUCGGAAGGAACAUCAGUGGCGAAAGCGACUUCCUGGACCAGUACCGACGUUCAGGCACGAAAGCGUGGGGAGCAAACAGG
This 253-nucleotide ribosomal RNA is filed under the name uncultured bacterium. RNAcentral's name for it is "partial 16S ribosomal RNA". It matches the Rfam family "Bacterial small subunit ribosomal RNA", at positions 524 to 776 of the family's 1533-position model. The record is from RNAcentral.